Molecule: ribosomal RNA, 2902 nt
Filed under: Escherichia coli
Lineage: Bacteria; Pseudomonadati; Pseudomonadota; Gammaproteobacteria; Enterobacterales; Enterobacteriaceae
Description: bacterial LSU rRNA
Rfam family: Bacterial large subunit ribosomal RNA
Source: RNAcentral
UUAAGCGACUAAGCGUACACGGUGGAUGCCCUGGCAGUCAGAGGCGAUGAAGGACGUGCUAAUCUGCGAUAAGCGUCGGUAAGGUGAUAUGAACCGUUAUAACCGGCGAUUUCCGAAUGGGGAAACCCAGUGUGUUUCGACACACUAUCAUUAACUGAAUCCAUAGGUUAAUGAGGCGAACCGGGGGAACUGAAACAUCUAAGUACCCCGAGGAAAAGAAAUCAACCGAGAUUCCCCCAGUAGCGGCGAGCGAACGGGGAGCAGCCCAGAGCCUGAAUCAGUGUGUGUGUUAGUGGAAGCGUCUGGAAAGGCGCGCGAUACAGGGUGACAGCCCCGUACACAAAAAUGCACAUGCUGUGAGCUCGAUGAGUAGGGCGGGACACGUGGUAUCCUGUCUGAAUAUGGGGGGACCAUCCUCCAAGGCUAAAUACUCCUGACUGACCGAUAGUGAACCAGUACCGUGAGGGAAAGGCGAAAAGAACCCCGGCGAGGGGAGUGAAAAAGAACCUGAAACCGUGUACGUACAAGCAGUGGGAGCACGCUUAGGCGUGUGACUGCGUACCUUUUGUAUAAUGGGUCAGCGACUUAUAUUCUGUAGCAAGGUUAACCGAAUAGGGGAGCCGAAGGGAAACCGAGUCUUAACUGGGCGUUAAGUUGCAGGGUAUAGACCCGAAACCCGGUGAUCUAGCCAUGGGCAGGUUGAAGGUUGGGUAACACUAACUGGAGGACCGAACCGACUAAUGUUGAAAAAUUAGCGGAUGACUUGUGGCUGGGGGUGAAAGGCCAAUCAAACCGGGAGAUAGCUGGUUCUCCCCGAAAGCUAUUUAGGUAGCGCCUCGUGAAUUCAUCUCCGGGGGUAGAGCACUGUUUCGGCAAGGGGGUCAUCCCGACUUACCAACCCGAUGCAAACUGCGAAUACCGGAGAAUGUUAUCACGGGAGACACACGGCGGGUGCUAACGUCCGUCGUGAAGAGGGAAACAACCCAGACCGCCAGCUAAGGUCCCAAAGUCAUGGUUAAGUGGGAAACGAUGUGGGAAGGCCCAGACAGCCAGGAUGUUGGCUUAGAAGCAGCCAUCAUUUAAAGAAAGCGUAAUAGCUCACUGGUCGAGUCGGCCUGCGCGGAAGAUGUAACGGGGCUAAACCAUGCACCGAAGCUGCGGCAGCGACGCUUAUGCGUUGUUGGGUAGGGGAGCGUUCUGUAAGCCUGCGAAGGUGUGCUGUGAGGCAUGCUGGAGGUAUCAGAAGUGCGAAUGCUGACAUAAGUAACGAUAAAGCGGGUGAAAAGCCCGCUCGCCGGAAGACCAAGGGUUCCUGUCCAACGUUAAUCGGGGCAGGGUGAGUCGACCCCUAAGGCGAGGCCGAAAGGCGUAGUCGAUGGGAAACAGGUUAAUAUUCCUGUACUUGGUGUUACUGCGAAGGGGGGACGGAGAAGGCUAUGUUGGCCGGGCGACGGUUGUCCCGGUUUAAGCGUGUAGGCUGGUUUUCCAGGCAAAUCCGGAAAAUCAAGGCUGAGGCGUGAUGACGAGGCACUACGGUGCUGAAGCAACAAAUGCCCUGCUUCCAGGAAAAGCCUCUAAGCAUCAGGUAACAUCAAAUCGUACCCCAAACCGACACAGGUGGUCAGGUAGAGAAUACCAAGGCGCUUGAGAGAACUCGGGUGAAGGAACUAGGCAAAAUGGUGCCGUAACUUCGGGAGAAGGCACGCUGAUAUGUAGGUGAAGUCCCUCGCGGAUGGAGCUGAAAUCAGUCGAAGAUACCAGCUGGCUGCAACUGUUUAUUAAAAACACAGCACUGUGCAAACACGAAAGUGGACGUAUACGGUGUGACGCCUGCCCGGUGCCGGAAGGUUAAUUGAUGGGGUUAGCGCAAGCGAAGCUCUUGAUCGAAGCCCCGGUAAACGGCGGCCGUAACUAUAACGGUCCUAAGGUAGCGAAAUUCCUUGUCGGGUAAGUUCCGACCUGCACGAAUGGCGUAAUGAUGGCCAGGCUGUCUCCACCCGAGACUCAGUGAAAUUGAACUCGCUGUGAAGAUGCAGUGUACCCGCGGCAAGACGGAAAGACCCCGUGAACCUUUACUAUAGCUUGACACUGAACAUUGAGCCUUGAUGUGUAGGAUAGGUGGGAGGCUUUGAAGUGUGGACGCCAGUCUGCAUGGAGCCGACCUUGAAAUACCACCCUUUAAUGUUUGAUGUUCUAACGUGGACCCGUGAUCCGGGUUGCGGACAGUGUCUGGUGGGUAGUUUGACUGGGGCGGUCUCCUCCUAAAGAGUAACGGAGGAGCACGAAGGUUGGCUAAUCCUGGUCGGACAUCAGGAGGUUAGUGCAAUGGCAUAAGCCAGCUUGACUGCGAGCGUGACGGCGCGAGCAGGUGCGAAAGCAGGUCAUAGUGAUCCGGUGGUUCUGAAUGGAAGGGCCAUCGCUCAACGGAUAAAAGGUACUCCGGGGAUAACAGGCUGAUACCGCCCAAGAGUUCAUAUCGACGGCGGUGUUUGGCACCUCGAUGUCGGCUCAUCACAUCCUGGGGCUGAAGUAGGUCCCAAGGGUAUGGCUGUUCGCCAUUUAAAGUGGUACGCGAGCUGGGUUUAGAACGUCGUGAGACAGUUCGGUCCCUAUCUGCCGUGGGCGCUGGAGAACUGAGGGGGGCUGCUCCUAGUACGAGAGGACCGGAGUGGACGCAUCACUGGUGUUCGGGUUGUCAUGCCAAUGGCACUGCCCGGUAGCUAAAUGCGGAAGAGAUAAGUGCUGAAAGCAUCUAAGCACGAAACUUGCCCCGAGAUGAGUUCUCCCUGACUCCUUGAGAGUCCUGAAGGAACGUUGAAGACGACGACGUUGAUAGGCCGGGUGUGUAAGCGCAGCGAUGCGUUGAGCUAACCGGUACUAAUGAACCGUGAGGCUUAACCUU